Molecule: ribosomal RNA, 207 nt
Filed under: uncultured bacterium
Lineage: Bacteria
Description: partial 16S ribosomal RNA
Rfam family: Bacterial small subunit ribosomal RNA
Source: RNAcentral
AGCGUAGACGGAUGGACAAGUCUGAUGUGAAAGGCUGGGGCUCAACCCCGGGACUGCAUUGGAAACUGCCCGUCUUGAGUGCCGGAGAGGUAAGCGGAAUUCCUAGUGUAGCGGUGAAAUGCGUAGAUAUUAGGAGGAACACCAGCGGCGAAGGCUGCUUACUGGACGGUAACUGACGUUGAGGCUCGAAAGCGUGGGGAGCAAACA